This 427-nucleotide ribosomal RNA is filed under the name uncultured bacterium. RNAcentral's name for it is "bacterial SSU rRNA". It matches the Rfam family "Bacterial small subunit ribosomal RNA", at positions 355 to 775 of the family's 1533-position model. The record is from RNAcentral.
UGGGGAAUAUUGGGCAAUGGGCACAAGCCUGACCCAGCCACGCCGCGUGAGUGAUGAAGGCCUUCGGGUCGUAAAGCUCUGUGGGGAGGGACGAAACUACGCUGGCUAAUAUCCAGCGGCCUGACGGUACCUCCUUAGCAAGCACCGGCUAACUCCGUGCCAGCAGCCGCGGUAAUACGGAGGGUGCAAACGUUGCUCGGAAUUAUUGGGCGUAAAGCGCACGUAGGCGGUCCAGCAAGUCGGGUGUGAAAGCCCUCGGCUUAACCGAGGAAGUGCAUUCGAAACUACUGGACUUGAAUACUGGAGAGGAUCGCGGAAUUCCCGGUGUAGAGGUGAAAUUCGUAGAUAUCGGGAGGAACACCAGUGGCGAAGGCGGCGAUCUGGACAGAUAUUGACGCUGAUGUGCGAAAGCGUGGGGAGCAAACAG